UACUGAUUUCCCCGGUUCUUUGUGGUC
Molecule: small RNA, 27 nt
Filed under: Bombyx mori (domestic silkworm)
Lineage: Eukaryota; Metazoa; Arthropoda; Insecta; Lepidoptera; Bombycidae
Description: ovarian small RNA-21486
Source: RNAcentral